GGAGAGGUGGCCGAGCGGUUUAAGGCGCACGCCUGGAACGCCUGUAUACGGAAAACCGUAUCGAGGGCUCGAAUCCCUCUCUCUCCGCCA
This 90-nucleotide transfer RNA is filed under the name Stappia indica. Its description in RNAcentral is "tRNA-Ser". It matches the Rfam family "tRNA". From Rfam's summary of the family: Transfer RNA (tRNA) molecules are approximately 80 nucleotides in length. Their secondary structure includes four short double-helical elements and three loops (D, anti-codon, and T loops). Lineage: Bacteria; Pseudomonadati; Pseudomonadota; Alphaproteobacteria; Hyphomicrobiales; Stappiaceae. The record is from RNAcentral.